Xenia sp. Carnegie-2017 is the source of this 473-nucleotide long non-coding RNA. RefSeq lists it as uncharacterized. NCBI's taxonomy places the organism in Eukaryota, Metazoa, Cnidaria, Anthozoa, Malacalcyonacea, Xeniidae. The transcript is spliced from 3 exons. The record is from RefSeq and is a predicted model, not a curated record.
UCACGCAUCUUAUUGUUUUUAUUUUAUGAGUAUCUAUAUUACCUAUAAACUAUUCAAAAGCAAUUUAUUUUCGUCGAGUCUUCCACUGGGUCUGUUUGUUGAACAAGUCAAUCGAUCAAGCAACAGUACAAAAUGAUACCUAUGAAAGUUGUCAUGCUUUUGUUGGCUUUUUUACACAUCUCGCACACCUUGCCUGACUUAAUCAAACAAGACUUUGAAAAAAUAGGCAACCAUUUGAAAACAUGCCAAUGCUCAGAUGGCUCUGGAAGAAUGGGAAUUCCACGAUGUAUUCAUGUGGAUACCAACCUGUGACUCACGAGAAACUUUGUGGAUAUAUAAUAUAUGAUUUAGUUUGCUGCACCAAACAAUGAAUCUACUAUUAUAAAUAAAGUACAUUGUACUGAAAGUAUAAAUUAAUCAUGAAGUUUUUUUCUCAUUGUUUGAUAAUAAAAUAUUAUGUCGUUUGUGAUAAA